GUGUCAGCAGCCGCGGUAAUACGUAGGGUGCAAGCGUUAAUCGGAAUUACUGGGCGUAAAGCGUGCGCAGGCGGUUCGGAAAGAAAGAUGUGAAAUCCCAGAGCUUAACUUUGGAACUGCAUUUUUAACUACCGGGCUAGAGUGUGUCAGAGGGAGGUGGAAUUCCGCGUGUAGCAGUGAAAUGCGUAGAUAUGCGGAGGAACACCGAUGGCGAAGGCAGCCUCCUGGGAUAACACUGACGCUCAUGCACGAAAGCGUGGGGAGCAAACAGGAUUAGAUACCCUGGUAGUCCACGCCCUAAACGAUGUCAACUAGCUGUUGGGGCCUUCGGGCCUUGGUAGCGCAGCUAACGCGUGAAGUUGACCGCCUGGGGAGUACGGUCGCAAGAUUAAAACUCAAAGGAAUUGACGG
This 411-nucleotide ribosomal RNA is filed under the name uncultured bacterium. RNAcentral describes it as "bacterial SSU rRNA". It matches the Rfam family "Bacterial small subunit ribosomal RNA", at positions 505 to 916 of the family's 1533-position model. The record is from RNAcentral.